UGACCGCAGAGGAAGAGG
This 18-nucleotide small nuclear RNA is filed under the name Arabidopsis thaliana (thale cress). RNAcentral's name for it is "snRNA_09087". The record is from RNAcentral. Lineage: Eukaryota; Viridiplantae; Streptophyta; Magnoliopsida; Brassicales; Brassicaceae.